CUCCCCGGGGCAAAGGCCAAGAUUUAAUUUAUUUUUAUUUUUUUUUUUUUUCUUUGGAACCCCCUUCUAUCAUGAUAGUUCAAUGUCACGAUCCACCCAAUCGUUUCUGUUUAAAAAGAUAGUUCCUUCCUUCUCCUCGCCUCUCUGGCACAGCAUCGAAAGAGAUGACACUCUUUCUGGCGGCGCUGUUAGUUCGUCUCGAUCUACUAGACAGAGAGACGAACGAGACCUCAGCCUGCUAACUAGCCUAUGCGGAGGUAUACCUCCGCAGCUAGCUUCUUAGAGGGACUAUGGCGUUUAGGCCACA
RNAcentral lists this ribosomal RNA (307 nucleotides) under Frangula sp. JMV-2014. Its description in RNAcentral is "partial 18S ribosomal RNA". Lineage: Eukaryota; Viridiplantae; Streptophyta; Magnoliopsida; Rosales; Rhamnaceae. The record is from RNAcentral.